CUACGGGCCGCAGCAGUGGGGAAUAUUGGGCAAUGGGCGCAAGCCUGACCCAGCAACGCCGCGUGAGGGAAGAAGGUUUUCGGAUUGUAAACCUCUGUCCUUGGGGACGAAGAAGUGACGGUACCCAAGGAGGAAGCUCCGGCUAACUACGUGCCAGCAGCCACGGUAAUACGUAGGGAGCAAGCGUUGUCCGGAAUUACUGGGCGUAAAGGGUGCGUAGGCGGCAUAUUAAGUCAGGUGUGAAAUACUCGGGCUCAACCCGGGGGCUGCAUUUGAAACUGAUAUGCUUGAGUGUGAGAGAGGAAAGUGGAAUUCCUAGUGUAGCGGUGGAAUGCGUAGAUAUUAGGAGGAACACCAGUGGCGAAGGCGACUUUCUGGCUCAUAACUGACGCUGAGGCACGAAAGCGUGGGGAGCAAACAGGAUUAGAUACCCCUGUAGUC
Molecule: ribosomal RNA, 441 nt
Filed under: uncultured bacterium
Lineage: Bacteria
Description: partial 16S ribosomal RNA
Rfam family: Bacterial small subunit ribosomal RNA
Source: RNAcentral